UACGAAGGGACCUAACUCACCUCGGAAUUACUGACCUUAAAGAACUCGUAAGUGCUUCUUAAAGUUGAUGGAUGAAAUCCCAUAGGCUCAACACUUGAAACUGCCAUCAUAACUUUUUAUCUACAUUAUGAUAUAGGACAGCGUAAUUUCUACCGUAUAGGUGAAAUUCGAUACAUAUUAUGAAAGAACACCUGAAGCGAAGGCAGCUUUCUGGAUCUUUACUGACUCUGAGGAACGAAACCUUGUAUAGCGAAUAGGAUUACAUACCCUCGUAGUCCAUGCCGUAAACGAUGUGUGCUACACGUUGUCAAACUUACUUUUCAUUGUCACAGCGCAAGGCAUUACUGACACCGCCUGCCGAGUACGACCGUCAUCUUACAACUCAAAUGAAUUGACGUGCGACCCGCACAAGUAGUCGUUAGCAUGUGGUUUACUUCGAAGAUACGCGCAGAACCCUACCAUCACUCGGCAUGUUCGUCGCGAGACCAAGAGAUUGUUUUGUUCACUCAGUUGGCCGAAACACAGGUGAUGCAUGGCUGUCGUCAGCUCGUCUCGUGAGUUGUUGGGUUAAGUAGCGCACCGAGCGCAAGCCUUGCCUUUAGUUGGCAUCCAUUUACUGGGCUCUUAAAGGAAUUGUCUGUGAUAAGUUGGAGGAAGGCGGGGAAGACGUCAAGUCCUCAUGGUUCCUUACGUGUUGGGCUACAUCUCGUGCGUUCAAUGGCGAUAAUUCACACUGGUGAAGUUUAAGUCUGCGUAGUAGCUAAUAAUAAUCCUCAAAAUAGAGUGCUCUCAGAUUCGGACUUGUACUGCUGUAACUACGAGUGCAAGAAGCUCGAAUUCAUAGUAAUCGCGGAUCAGCGCUCCGCGGAGAAUACGCUUCCGGGUUU
RNAcentral lists this ribosomal RNA (887 nucleotides) under uncultured bacterium. Its description in RNAcentral is "SSU rRNA". It matches the Rfam family "Bacterial small subunit ribosomal RNA", at positions 524 to 1381 of the family's 1533-position model. The record is from RNAcentral.